Molecule: non-coding RNA, 88 nt
Organism: Ceratotherium simum simum (southern white rhinoceros)
Lineage: Eukaryota; Metazoa; Chordata; Mammalia; Perissodactyla; Rhinocerotidae
Source: RefSeq, a predicted model, not a curated record
AGUCUUGAGAACCCCCAGGGUUCCCCAGAGCACACUUUGGGAACCACUAUCCUCCAUGGCAAUCCUUGGACAGUGGUGACUUCUCACA